RNAcentral lists this long non-coding RNA (1080 nucleotides) under Chloebia gouldiae (Gouldian finch). RNAcentral describes it as "Erythrura gouldiae (Gouldian finch) lncRNA (ENSEGOG00005005438.1)". Lineage: Eukaryota; Metazoa; Chordata; Aves; Passeriformes; Passeridae. The record is from RNAcentral.
AUGAAUCUGUGUCCUGAAAAUACAUACCAGGACCACAUCUACCUGAAAAGGAAAUGGUUUGUGCAGGUGAGCUGGGUUACAGGGGCAGGGUUGGAGGUGGCAGUGACACGGGAGCAGGGGCUGGGCAGGGGAAUUGGUGUCCCCUGGGGCUGGGGANNNNNNNNNNGGGGCUGGUGUCACUGGUGUCCCCUGGGGCUGGGGAUGUGGGGCUGGGCAGGGGAAUUGGUGUCCUCUGGGGCUGGGGACAGGGCUGGAUUGGGCAGGAGGAACCAGUUUCAACCUCAUUCAUGGCUCUAUCCUGGCUCUAUCCCGGGUUUAUCCUGGCUCCAUCCCAGCUCUGUCCCAGCCCUGUCCUCGCUCUAUCCCAGCUCUAUCNNNNNNNNNNCCCGGCUCUGUCCCGGCUCUAUCCUGUCCCUAUCCCGGCUCUGUCCCGCCUCCAUCGCGGCUCUAUCCCGGCCCCUAUCCCUGCUCUAUCCCAGUUCUAUCCCAGCUCUAUCCCCACUCUAUCCCGGCCCUGUCCCGGCUCCAACCCGGGUUUAUCCCGGCUCUAACCUGGUUCUAUCCCCGCUCUCUCCUGGCUCUAUCCCGGCCCUGUCCCGGCUCUGUCCCGGCUCUAUCCCAGUUCUAUCCCAGCUCUAUCCCGGUUCUAUCCCGGCUCUCUCCAGGUUCUAUCCCAGUUCUAUCCCCGCUCUCUUCCGGCUCUAUCCCAGUUCUAUCCCGGCCCUGUCCCGGCCCUAUCCCGGUUCUAUCCCCGCUCUCUCCUGGCUCUAUCCCGGCCCUAUCCUGGCUCUCUCCUGGCUCUGUCCCGGUUCUAUCCCAGUUCUAUCCCGGCUCUAUCCCAGUUCUAUCCCGGCUCUNNNNNNNNNNUCUAUCCCAGUUCUAUCCCGGCUCUAUCCCAGUUCUAUCCCGGCUCUAUCCCAGUUCUAUCCCGGCCCUAUCCCGGUUCUAUCCCGGCUCUCUCCCGGCCCUAUCCCAGUUCUGUCCCGGCCCUAUCCCGGUUCUAUCCCGGCCCUAUCCCGGUUCUAUCCCGGACCUGUCCCGGCCCUAUGCCGGUUCUANNNNNNNNNNAUUUAUGCUUGA